RNAcentral lists this ribosomal RNA (254 nucleotides) under uncultured bacterium. RNAcentral describes it as "partial 16S ribosomal RNA". It matches the Rfam family "Bacterial small subunit ribosomal RNA", at positions 524 to 776 of the family's 1533-position model. The record is from RNAcentral.
UACAGAGGUCCCAAGCGUUGUUCGGAUUCAUUGGGCGUAAAGGGUGCGUAGGCGGCGCGGUAAGUCGGGUGUGAAAUCUCGGAGCUUAACUCCGAAACUGCAUUCGAUACUGCCGUGCUUGAGGACUGGAGAGGAGACUGGAAUUUACGGUGUAGCGGUGAAAUGCGUAGAUAUCUGGAGGAACACCGGUGGCGAAGGCGGCAUCCUGGACCAACACUGACGCUGAGUGAGCGAAAGCCAGGGGAGCAAACAGG